Scatophagus argus is the source of this 1877-nucleotide long non-coding RNA. RefSeq lists it as uncharacterized. The record is from RefSeq and is a predicted model, not a curated record. NCBI's taxonomy places the organism in Eukaryota, Metazoa, Chordata, Actinopteri, Scatophagidae. The transcript has 3 exons.
ACAUCAAUACAUGGUCCCCGCCCCUCCGAUGUGACAGUAAAAGCCAUAUUGAUUUCCACCCAGAUUAAGGAUACUACUGGGAGCAAUUUAAACAUAGGAGUGAAGUGUCUCUGCCCAAUCGGAGGGGGACAUCUGUGGAGUGAGAAGACCUGAUUCCCACCAAGCUUGGGGCCCCAUGGGUCUGAGGCUGAGGACACCCUGACAGAAAGCAGAGGCCGCCUAUCUCCCAGGAGGAACCGGCGGCCAGAACACGGACCUCUCCUUCCUGAAGGAAACUCUUCGAACCAGCGUGCCGACAGCUUGAGGAGGGGCUGCAGAGAGAGACGAGAGGAAGGACUUGAGGAAGGUGGAAGGAAGGAGAUUGGGAGAAGGUUGAAUAGGGGGAGUAGGACAAUAGGAAAUGACAAUGUGCGUGGAGCAAUAAGCCCCCAGCAAGGACCCCCACACCCUGGGGGAGGACUGGGGGCUACAAGACUUCAGUCUCAGUGCUCAGUCCUACCGCUGUCCCAGAUGACCCUGCCCAGCCAUUGUGUGUAGAUAAUAUUUGUAUAACUGUAUAGUGUCCUGCAUAUAGGCUACAGUUUGAAAAAGGUAGUUGACUUAUAUAUAAUAAUAUUCAAAAUUUACUGAAUUACACUUAGCAAGUUGCAAAUUUACCAAGUUUAUGUAUGUACAGUAUGUGUCUGGUUUUAAAGAAAUAUGUGUUUAAAUACAAUAUGUGCACAAUAUGUGAUGUUUUUAGUGCCCCAUGUAUUAAUUAUUCUGUGGUUAAAAAAUUUUAGUUCUUGGAAGAACAUCUCUUCAAAUGAAAAGUUCCUUAUAAAAAAUCAAACUGAAUCAAAUUUAAUUAAAUGAGUCAAACGUAUAAAAAUGAAAUCACUUGCUUUUAAUGCUACGAGAUAAGACAUAAAAGUCCACACCAAGUCUUAAUUAUUUUAUAUAAUGAGAAGAUGUUCAACCCCUAUCUGAAAUGCAUAAUAGACCAAUGCACUUUUGUCCCAUGUUGUCAGAUACCACCUCUUUGUCACCACUCAUGUCUCAUCCAGACAAAAAAGGUGACCUUCAGCAUCUGUGCAUGAUGCAUAAAGCCUUGCUCCCACAAAGUCUUUCUAACAUAUGCAUGACAAAAAAACAGCAGUUUUAGUUACAUUGAGGUUUAAGAAAAGAUCGGUGAGCUUUGGUUUUACACAGAAUGUAAUCUCCAGUCUCCUGGGUGAAAGCUGUGUGCUUGUGACCCACCACUCAGCGCCUAUCUCCUCCUCUUGGGACUUUCUCACAUUGUAAAUUAAAUGUACAAAUUGUACAUCUUACAUAAUGUUUGCUAUUUAGUUAGGAUUAGCCACCAAAAGUAAGCAGUACUGGUACUGAUGACAGCUACUGGUGAAGGCUAACCCUCCAUCCUACUCAGCAUCUGUUUGGCUAACCUGUUAUCCUUAUUCUAACCCCACCUCUCGCCCGUAGUCAGUUGGGAUAGGCUCCAGCCCCCUGUGACCCUGACGGAUAAGUGGGUAUAGAAAAUGGAUGGAUGGAUGUUGCUUUUGGAAAAACAUCCAUCCAUCCAUAAAUAAAUAAAUUAAUAAAUUCCUUUGCUCAUGAUAAUCAUUGAGCUUCUGUCAUACUGAGUCCUUUAAAAUGUUCCACUACCAUCUGCAGCACCCAACUGUCUCCAUAAAACCACUGGCAGGAUUAAUGAUGCUAACAUUUUAUAAACAUUUAGUUGUUCAAUUAGCCAAACUACUACAUGACAUCGUUGGUUGCUAUCUGGCAAUCAUGUAACUAUCAGUCUCUAAUGUCUGAGUUGUUCAGGAGUGAGAUGCCACUGAAUUGUUCUGAUCUAAACGACUGCAUGUUUUUUGCUGUUCAUGAAGACCCACAGA